CCCUUAGAUGUUCUGGGCCGCACACGCGCUACACUGAAUGAGGCAGCGUGUACUCCUGGAUCGAAAGAUUUGGGUAACCCGCGAAUCUCCUUCGUGCUAGGGAUUGAGGUUUGCAAUUAUCCUUCAUGAACGAGGAAUUCCCAGUAAGUGCAAGUCAUAAGCUUGCGCUGACUACGUCCCUGCCCUUUGUACACACCGCCCGUCGCUACUACCGAUUGAAUGAUUUAGUGAGGACUUCGGACUGGGACCGAUGCGGCUUUCGGGCUGCGUCGGUAUUCUGGAAAGAUGUCCAAACUGUAUCAUUUAGAGGAAGUAAAAGUCGUAACA
This 327-nucleotide ribosomal RNA is filed under the name uncultured eukaryote. Its description in RNAcentral is "partial 18S ribosomal RNA". It matches the Rfam family "Eukaryotic small subunit ribosomal RNA", at positions 1470 to 1796 of the family's 1831-position model. The record is from RNAcentral.